CUCAUGGAGGAGGGUCAAUGGGAACCCAAGGCUCUGAUGAUGUGUUGACGAGGGCAUUGGGCACCCCCGAGCCACGAGGGCGUGUUCAAGCUAAAGGUCACGGUGUGUCCUCCGCAUUGUUUUGGGAUACUCCGAAACCUACCAAAAUGAAAGAGAAAUUGAAAGAUAUUGUUUUGGCUAGCGCUACGACAUCGUCAACAAGAAGCGUGUCUAGAAGAACAUUUUCGUAAACAAGAGGAAAUGUUGAGAUCUUUCAUGGCCCAACAGAGUGGUUCAGGAUCCAAUAUUGGAGUCCCACCAGUAGUUCCAAACCCACCAGGACCAUCUUACUAUGUGCCCGACCCAUAAGCACCAUCUUACUAUGUGCUCGACCCUCCAGGGCCAUCUUGCUAUGUGCCUGACCAAUCAGCACCAUCUUACUAUCAGCCUGAACCACCAGUACCAUUUGUGACUGAGGUACCUAGUUGUCAGUUAGCCAUUGGUUCGCUAUCCAAUAUUGUUGCAUCAGGCAAGCUCAUUGACAAAGAAUCAGGUAACAACUACCAAGUGGUGAUUACUGACGCUAUUAAGCUGGCGACACCUCUUCCUUAUGCAAAACCUGAUCAGAAUAUGUACAUAGUCAUUCAGGCUAUUGGGCAUCCUAUAUCAUGGCCUAAGGAAUUAGUCAUCGUAUCUAAUGAUAUACAUGAACAGAAUUGUUCUAUAAGUAAUAACAUAUCAGAACGACCAAUUGCUCCUUCAACACAAUGACCUCGAGAAAGAAUACAACGUUUGAGUAAUUCUCUGACAUAAGACACCAGUCCUUUGGAAUAGAUUUACAAUAUUAUAUCUCGUUGGAAUGAUGAUGACUCUGUAUUCGAUCAGGAUAUUUCAAGUCUUUACAUAUGUAAAGAGGACAUACUUCAAUUUAUUCAAAUGGAAAAGAUUGGAC
Humulus lupulus (European hop) is the source of this 931-nucleotide long non-coding RNA. RefSeq lists it as uncharacterized. The record is from RefSeq and is a predicted model, not a curated record. The transcript has 3 exons. NCBI's taxonomy places the organism in Eukaryota, Viridiplantae, Streptophyta, Magnoliopsida, Rosales, Cannabaceae.